UGAUUCUCUACUACAGGUACUGAUGCUUUGAUAUCCAUUUGAAUUAUAGUAUUAUGAGAUGAUUGUCCAAUAUCCAACUCUCCAUGUCGACUCCAGAUAGUGUAACCCAAAGGAAAUUGUUUGGAGGAGAUUUUCGUAGACAUCAUCUCUAGAAAGCCACUUCUCGAAAGAACAUUUUGGACAAUGACAUAUUAUCAUGUCUCCACCGUUAUUUUUUUAGAAAGCAAAGUCAAGAAAGCGUUUCAAACCGAUCAUAUACUCAUCGGAAAG
This 270-nucleotide long non-coding RNA is filed under the name Linum usitatissimum (flax). RNAcentral describes it as "long non-coding RNA (LUSI_LNC007458)". Lineage: Eukaryota; Viridiplantae; Streptophyta; Magnoliopsida; Malpighiales; Linaceae. The record is from RNAcentral.